CCUACGGGAUGCUGCAGUGGGGAAUCUUCCGCAAUGGGCGAAAGCCUGAAGGAGCAACGCCGCGUGAUCGAAUGAAGGCCUUCGGGUUGUAAAGAUCUGUUGUCAGGGACGAAUAACCAAUGCGAAUAGCUGUGUGUAUGACGUUACCUGAUUAGAAAGCGCUGGCUCAAUACGUGCCAGCAGCCGCGGGAAUACGGAGGGAGCAUGCGUUGUCCGGAAUUACUGGGCGUAAAGGGCGCGUAGGUGGGAUCUUAAGGCAGGUGGGAAAACUCCGGGCUCAACCCGGAGACUGCACUUGAAACUGGGUGUCUUGAGAGCAGGAGAGGAAAGUGGAAUGCUUAGUGUAGCGGUGAAAUGCGUAGAGAUUAGGCAGAACACCGAUUGCGAAGGCAGCUUACUGGACUGUAGCUGACGCUGAGGCGCGAAAGCGUGGGUAGCGAACGGGAUUAGAUACCCCUGUAGUC
Molecule: ribosomal RNA, 464 nt
Filed under: uncultured bacterium
Lineage: Bacteria
Description: partial 16S ribosomal RNA
Rfam family: Bacterial small subunit ribosomal RNA
Source: RNAcentral